GUGAGGAAUAUUGGACAAUGGGCGCAAGCCUGAUCCAGCCAUGUCGCGUGCAGGAAGACGCAUCUAUGGUGUGUAAACUGCUUUUGUACGGGAAGAAACACUCCCUCGUGAGGGAGCUUGACGGUACCGUAAGAAUAAGGAUCGGCUAACUCCGUGCCAGCAGCCGCGGUAAUACGGAGGAUCCAAGCGUUAUCCGGAAUCAUUGGGUUUAAAGGGUCCGUAGGCGGUUUAAUAAGUCAGUGGUGAAAGCCCAUCGCUCAACGAUGGAACGGCCAUUGAUACUGUUAGACUUGAAUUACAAGGAAGUAACUAGAAUAUGUAGUGUAGCGGUGAAAUGCUUAGAUAUUACAUGGAAUACCAAUUGCGAAGGCAGGUUACUACUUGUGGAUUGACGCUGAUGGACGAAAGCGUGGGGAGCGAACAGGAUUAGAUACCCUUGUAGUCC
This 445-nucleotide ribosomal RNA is filed under the name uncultured bacterium. RNAcentral describes it as "partial 16S ribosomal RNA". It matches the Rfam family "Bacterial small subunit ribosomal RNA", at positions 354 to 796 of the family's 1533-position model. The record is from RNAcentral.